GUGUCAGCAGCCGCGGUAAUACAGAGGGUGCAAGCGUUAAUCGGAAUUACUGGGCGUAAAGCGCACGUAGGUGGUUGUAUAAGUCAGGUGUGAAAUCCCCGAGCUCAACUUGGGAAUUGCAUUUGAUACUGUAUGACUAGAGUAUGAUAGAGGGAAGUGGAAUUUCUGGUGUAGCGGUGAAAUGCGUAGAUAUCAGAAGGAACAUCAGUGGCGAAGGCGACUUCCUGGAUUAAUACUGACACUGAGGUGCGAAAGCGUGGGGAUCAAACAGGAUUAGAUACCCUGGUAGUCCACGCUGUAAACGAUGGAUACUAGCCGUUGGGCUCUUAAUUGAGCUUAGUGGCGAAGCUAACGCGAUAAGUAUCCCGCCUGGGAAGUACGGUCGCAAGACUAAA
Molecule: ribosomal RNA, 395 nt
Filed under: uncultured bacterium
Lineage: Bacteria
Description: bacterial SSU rRNA
Rfam family: Bacterial small subunit ribosomal RNA
Source: RNAcentral